UCAACGAUACAUAAUUUUGAACCACAACAAAAUUUAAAUUAAGAAAAAAUGAAAUCAGUUGUAAUUUUUUUUAUUAUUCUUAGCAUACUUGGUGCAGAAUCCACAUCUACAUUUAAGGAUUCCCUUACGGAUACCAACCAUGCGGUUGAUCUUCAUAAAUUUUGUAAACUUGGUUGUGUCUUUUCUCUUUGCAGCAAUGUUUCCACCCCAGAAAACCUGAAUGUGGACAAAGUAGAAAGUUGUGUGAAUGGGUGUGAUCAAACGUGUAAGAAGAACUGAUGCUAAAGAAAAGAAGAUGAAGUAUACUGAGAGGAGAAGGGAACAGGGAUUGGCUUCCCAAGAUAUACUAUAUAUGAAUAAACAAAAAGCAAGUGGUGAAAAUCAAAACCAUUGGUUUAAAAAGAUUAUUAUUUCAUAUUUAAGCAUAUGUUUUGUUUUGAUAUAAAUAAAGUUUCAAGUUUUUGCAUGUCGUUAAAAAAGAGCCCUUUCUCUCUUUUAAUGCUAUACGAGAAUUAAGUCUGUUUUGCCA
Cucumis melo (muskmelon) is the source of this 529-nucleotide long non-coding RNA. RefSeq lists it as uncharacterized. NCBI's taxonomy places the organism in Eukaryota, Viridiplantae, Streptophyta, Magnoliopsida, Cucurbitales, Cucurbitaceae. The transcript has 2 exons. The record is from RefSeq and is a predicted model, not a curated record.